GUGAAUCAUCGAAUUUUUGAACGCAAAUUGCACUUUCUUCGGUGAGUAUGCCUGUUUGAGGGCCAGUAUUAUUAAAGAUCGGAGUGUUGCUUCUUUGUGGCGCUCCGGAGUUUGGGUCAUCUUAAUACCCACUCGGUUUUAAGAGGCUUCAAAUUGACUUUUUUUGCGCAUUUUAGAUGUACAUAAAUUCUUUUUUUUAUUCGUCUGUAUUAAUCCUCAAACUCCUAUUAGAUGCCACCAUAUGGUGUGGUUUCGUGUCUAUAUAUUUUUCAUGAUUUGACCUCAAAUCAGUUAGGU
Molecule: unclassified non-coding RNA, 297 nt
Filed under: Rhizophagus sp. (in: glomeromycetes)
Lineage: Eukaryota; Fungi; Glomeromycota; Glomeromycetes; Glomerales; Glomeraceae
Description: partial contains 5.8S ribosomal RNA and internal transcribed spacer 2
Rfam family: 5.8S ribosomal RNA (bases 1-65)
Source: RNAcentral